This 100-nucleotide transfer RNA is filed under the name Actinoplanes campanulatus. RNAcentral's name for it is "tRNA-Gly". The record is from RNAcentral. Lineage: Bacteria; Bacillati; Actinomycetota; Actinomycetes; Micromonosporales; Micromonosporaceae.
GGGCGAUCCGGGCGACCGGCGACACGAUGUCGUUGAUGUUGCCGGCGCCGAGCUGGAGCAGGGCGGCCGGCCGGCCCGGUUCGAUGCCGAGGGCCUCCCG